This 253-nucleotide ribosomal RNA is filed under the name uncultured bacterium. RNAcentral describes it as "partial 16S ribosomal RNA". It matches the Rfam family "Bacterial small subunit ribosomal RNA", at positions 524 to 776 of the family's 1533-position model. The record is from RNAcentral.
UACGGAGGGUGCAAGCGUUGCUCGGAAUUAUUGGGCGUAAAGGGUAGGUAGGUGGUCUCGUUUGUCUGGGGUGAAAGCCUUGAGCUUAACUCAAGAAGUGCCUCAGAAACGGCGAGACUAGAGUUCUGGAGAGGGUCGUGGAAUUCCCGGUGUAGCGGUGAAAUGCGUAGAGAUCGGGAGGAACACCAGAGGCGAAGGCGGCAGCCUGGUUGGCUCCUGACGCUCGGACACGACAGCAUGGGGAGCGAACGGG